ACGGGUGAGUAAUACGUGAACAAUCUUCCUUUGAGAGGGGGAUAACCCCGGGAAACCGGGGCUAAUACCGCGUGAGACCACGUCCUGGCAUCAGGAUGAGGUUAAACGCUCCGCAAGGGGCGCUUGAAGAGGAGUUCACGGCCUAUCAGCUAGUUGGUGAGGUAACGGCCCACCAAGGCUACGACGGGUAAGCGGUCUGAAAGGACGACCGCUCACAAUGGCACUGAGACACGGGCCAUACUCCUACGGGAGGCAGCAGUGGGGAAUUUUGCGCAAUGGGCGAAAGCCUGACGCAGCGAUGCCGCGUGGAGGACGAAGGUCUUCGGAUUGUAAACUCCUUUUACAGGGGAAAAAUGUGCAGGUGAAUAAUCUGCAUUGAUGGUACUCUGUGAAUAAGCCACGGCUAACUUCGUGCCAGCAGCCGCGGUAAGACGAAGGUGGCGAGCGUUACUCGGAAUUACUAGGCGUAAAGCGUGGGCAGGCGGUUCGGUAAGUCUGUUGUGAAAGCUCCCGGCUCAACUGAGAGAGGCCAAUGGAUACUGCCGGGCUUGAAUCGGGGAGGGGUCACUGGAAUUCCUGGUGUAGCG
This 587-nucleotide ribosomal RNA is filed under the name uncultured bacterium. RNAcentral describes it as "bacterial SSU rRNA". It matches the Rfam family "Bacterial small subunit ribosomal RNA", at positions 102 to 680 of the family's 1533-position model. The record is from RNAcentral.